UGAAGGCCCUAGGGUCGUAAAGCUCUUUCGCCUGUGAAGAUAAUGACGGUAGCAGGUAAAGAAACCCCGGCUAACUCCGUGCCAGCAGCCGCGGUAAUACGGAAGGGGUUAGCGUUGUUCGGAAUUACUGGGCGUAAAGCGCGCGUAGGCGGAUUAGUCAGUCAGAGGUGAAAUCCCAGGGCUCAACCCUGGAACUGCCUUUGAUACUGCUAGUCUUGAGUUCGAGAGAGGUAAGUGGAAUUCCGAGUGUAGAGGUGAAAUUCGUAGAUAUUCGGAGGAACACCAGUGGCGAAGGCGGCUUACUGGCUCGAUACUGACGCUGAGGUGCGAAAGUGUGGGGAGCAAACAGGAUU
RNAcentral lists this ribosomal RNA (353 nucleotides) under uncultured Gammaproteobacteria bacterium. RNAcentral describes it as "bacterial SSU rRNA". It matches the Rfam family "Bacterial small subunit ribosomal RNA", at positions 409 to 779 of the family's 1533-position model. The record is from RNAcentral. Lineage: Bacteria; Pseudomonadati; Pseudomonadota; Gammaproteobacteria.